RNAcentral lists this ribosomal RNA (3841 nucleotides) under Triticum aestivum (bread wheat). RNAcentral describes it as "partial small subunit ribosomal RNA". The record is from RNAcentral. Lineage: Eukaryota; Viridiplantae; Streptophyta; Magnoliopsida; Poales; Poaceae.
AGGCCGAAGACCGGGCAGCGGACGCCUCACGGGGUGGAGGAGAGGCUGAUGGGCGGAGCCGUUCGCUCGCCGGACGUGGCGGCGCCAGGUUCCAGAUCGAACGCAGGCUUACUGGUUUUGGUUCAGUUUGAAGGGUUCUCGGGGCAAAAGAUAAUUGAGUUGUUGAAUCUAAAUGGGCGCCGCGAGGAGUGGAGGAUCGAGGUUGUGGGUUGCCAGCUUCAAAUUUUGGUUGAGCACUUCCUCAAGAAUCUUGUUGAGCUCCGCAAGGAGUUGAAGGCUGAGGUCAUGGUUGCCAGCUUCAAUUUUUUGCUGAGCAAUUCCUCAAGAGUCUUGCCAAGAUCUGAGGAUGAAGGGAAGAAGAAGAAUUUAACUAAAGAGUUGAAGAAGAUGAAGAUCUUGAAUGCACGAUUGAUGAUUUUGCUGGAUAGGUUACAAAUCUAAAUAAUAAACAUUUUUAAAUGAUGUGGUUGGUACACAUGCGAAGCUAAGAAAAUAAACAUUUUUAAAUGAUGUGAUGGCUAGAUGAGAUUUGUGGUGAAAAUUUCCCAUUCUUUUAUUUACCUACAGAUCUUGAAUGCACGAUUGAUGAUUUUGCUGGAUAGGUUACAAAUCUAAAUAAUAAACAUUUUUAAAUGAUGUGGUUGGUACACAUGCGAAGCUAAGAAAAUAUAUAGUUUACUCACAGUGUUGUUUGAUCCAUUGUUGUGUGGCAGGCUCGCUGAUGGUCUGGCAACGCUGCAUAUACAUCUGAAUGUCAAUGAUAGUAUGGUUUAGAUAGACAAGUUAAUAAUUUCUUUUUUCUUGAAUGCCAAUGAUAGUAUGCCAAGAGGAAGGGUAAUUCGUGCAGGGGAAUAAACCCUACAUGGUAAUCAAGGGGAACAUGCUUUAUAAGUUGUGCUUUUUGUAAGGUAAGCUGUGUUUUUCGACCCGUUGUUCUUUAGAUAUCUUCCUUUUACAUUUUUUGUAUGCGAUGGUUAGUUGAUCAGGCUGAGUGCUUCUUUGCAGUGCUUGCUUUGUUGGAACAUGUUCAUUUGGCUAAUAAGACAGUACACAUCUCUCUUGAAUUAUGUGCAUCUCCUUUUUAGUUAUUUGAUUUUUUUAGUGACUCGCUAAUUGGAAAAUCAGGAUGCUAAAACUUGGCAUAAUGAAUUCUUGAAUUACGUACUUCUUAUUGUGCAUGUCAAACUAAGGACUAAAUAUAUUUUUAGUUGAGCUAUUGUUUUGAGUAUUUCCCUGCAACAACUUAAAUUACUUUUUGCAAAUAAAAUGAGCUAGCAUAUGCUAUACUUGCAAUGGUAAAUUAAUUAUGCAGUUCUGAGGAUUGAGGAAAUUAAUGGUCAGUGGUCAUUGAGGUUUUGAAAGAGCCAUCAAGGCAACAAUCUCAUUUCAUCUCAUGCAUUGAUUUUGUUAUCUUCUUUAUAUGGCAUUUUAUUAAUUAUUUAUAUAUAUUUGCCGUAUUGCCGUUUCUAAAAAUUGUUGUAUCCUUUGUCCCCAUUUCCGUAUCGCCGUAUCUGUGUUGCCGGUGCACCAUAACAAUCACUUAUUGAAGAAAAAUGUCCCUUUUCUUGUUCCCAUUGCUCGAUAGGCAUGAUCGCAUUUCUACUGAUUGAUUAUAAAUAUGGCCUUUCUUUUGAUUAUUUGGUGGUACUUCUGAUUGGCACCAUGAGGUGCUUCUUUGUCGUGUAGAUUCAUCCUUUACUUAAAUACUGAUGAUGAUAUGGUUGUAAAUUAGUCUGGUAUAUGCCAAUAGUUGUCUCUCCCAGAAGAAUUUUUGUGAGAAUAGCAUACCUAAAGAGUUGGUUGUUUGUCUGGAUUGAACACCCAGCUAUAAGAAUGGGUUGACAACACCGAUUGACUCUAUUGGCGCUUCUAUGUUGUCCAGCUUCAUCAUUUACUUAUACACUGAUGAUAUUGUUGUCAGCGUGUUGUAAGUACUUUGGGAAACAAGUGUGGUAUAUUACAAUGAUGUAGUCCUACAGAUCAGUACAGGUCACCGGCUUUAUAUUGUGGUCAGCGUGUUGUAAGUACUUUGGGAAACAAGUUCUGGGGUAAGUUUAUCUGCUUUCUCAUGCAUUUUAAUACUUGAUUGAUGUCCUGAUAAUUUGUGAAGUUCUGUGUACCAUGUGAUAAGCUGCACAUCAGGUUGCCUGGCAGCUUGUUUGUUGCUUUUAGGAUGUGCAUGUACCCAGGUGGAUCAAAUACAGAUACCAAUCAUAUAUUAUUAUUUUUACUCGUGUGUUUUUCUUGUGCCUGCCAAACAUUUCGAAAAUUGAUUAUAUCAUUCAGAUGUAUUCAGGCUGGGUUUCUGUGAUCCAAAAAAAUCAUCUGCCAUGGCUUUCUUUUUUACAUACAAAACUAAGUGUGGAGCAGUGUAUAUGUUCAUUGCUUUCUUAUCACAUCGCAUUUGUCGGAGGUGCUGUACUGAUUUGAAGGAAAUGCUUUUAUAUUUCCAAGUUGAUCAACUACACAACUUCUGAUCCUAAAGUAUGUCAAUGCAGCUCCAUGUUGUGCUAUCUUGCUAUUGGGCUCUUUUUUCGUUACUUAAAAUGGUCAGGUAUCUCUGAUGUUAAAUUCGUGGUUGAUUGCUUAUAUCCAAAAUAACUAUGUUAGUACACUGAAGCCAAUUUCUAAAUUGUUAGUGAAGUUGGCUAAAUAGUUUUUACGCCACUAAGAUAUAUAUGUGCACUGCAUUCUAACCCUGUAAAUUGUUAUGCUAUUAGUUUAAUCCAGAAUAUAAUUAUGUUAGUACACUCUGCAAUAUAAUUAUGUUAUAUUCUGCUUUUGUCAGUUUGCUGGUCCAUAUUAAUUUCCUUGAGCUUAUUUUCACAUCUCGUCAUAUUUACACCUCUCCGCCAACUGCCACCUAUCAUGGAGGGAGAUGGCUUGGCCAGGCCAUCAACACCCAUCGGCAACUUCCGGCAGGCGCCGUCCCGUUCUUUCUCCCCUUACUCUGAUGCCUUCAUGGCCAAAAUCAUUAGCAGGAGCAAGAAGGUUAAGCACCUAUUAUGGUUAAAGCUUUGUCUCUUUUGUGUACUAUGCAUGAUUGAUCUGAUUUUGCUGGUCAGCUUACAAAUUCAAGUAAUACGACUAUUGCAAUGCAUCUUACUACGUGUGUAUUUAUUUGCAUUGAUAUUUUCUCCUCCUUAGGCUCCAAAUCGUUUGUGGGUCAUAAAUUAUUGUGCAUUAUUGAUGAUUAAUUUGCAAUUUAAAUGACAACAGGGCUGGGUUUUAUAAGUGCAAUGGCUUGAAAUGUGACCUUCCAGUCAAGAAAUUUCCUCAGUGAGAAGCUUAUGUGAAGAAUGAUGUAAUUAAGUUAGCAAUUUACAGUUCUCUUUGAUAAUUGUAACUGAAUUGUCAAUGGCCAGUUCUCUUGAAUAAUGAGUUACUCCCUCAAUUUUACAAUAGAGAUAAUUUGUCAAAAUUGUGUUUUUGUAAUGUUUGUGGUCUUCUCUUUUCUUUUUCUUGAUUUGUAUUGUAUAUGCUACUCGCAUAUUUGAACAUGCAUAGGGCCUCUCAGUCUUUAACCCUGACUAUAAAAAUCCAUUGAUGGAAGUUGGGGAGGGCCGAGAUGAACAUCCGGCUCCCUGGGUCUAAGCCAUCGAGAUGGUAGAGACGACGUUUCCAUGUCACCUACUCCAGCAGCCGGACAAGGCAUAUAAAAACCAUGGAUUCUUGCUCCCCAGGCGGCAAAAUGAUCACAGUGAUGUCUACGACCUCCUCCUAGAUGUAUUAAUCUCAAUCUCAUGUUUGGUUUUCUUCCAUUUUCUCUUCUAAUGAUGUAAUUUCUUUUACUAAGAUAACACCAUGUUUGUUGUAAUGCCUUAUUUGAUGUAAGAUCCCU